AGAGUUUGAUCAUGGCUCAGAACGAACGCUGGCGGCAUGCCUAACACAUGCAAGUCGAACGAACUCUUCGGAGUUAGUGGCGCACGGGUGCGUAACGCGUGGGAAUCUACCCUUGGGUACGGAAUAACUCAGAGAAAUUUGUGCUAAUACCGUAUAAUGUCUUCGGACCAAAGAUUUAUCGCCCAAGGAUGAGCCCGCGUAAGAUUAGCUAGUUGGUGGGGUAAAAGCCUACCAAGGCGACGAUCUUUAGCUGGUCUGAGAGGAUGAUCAGCCACACUGGGACUGAGACACGGCCCAGACUCCUACGGGAGGCAGCAGUGGGGAAUAUUGGACAAUGGGCGAAAGCCUGAUCCAGCAAUGCCGCGUGAGUGAUGAAGGCCUUAGGGUUGUAAAGCUCUUUUACCCGGGAUGAUAAUGACAGUACCGGGAGAAUAAGCUCCGGCUAACUCCGUGCCAGCAGCCGCGGUAAUACGGAGGGAGCUAGCGUUGUUCGGAAUUACUGGGCGUAGAGCGCGCGUAGGCGGUCUUUUAAGUCAGAGGUGAAAGCCCGGGGCUCAACCCCGGAAUAGCCUUUGAAACUGGAAGACUUGAAUCUUGGAGAGGUCAGUGGAAUUCCGAGUGUAGAGGUGAAAUUCGU
This 637-nucleotide ribosomal RNA is filed under the name uncultured bacterium. Its description in RNAcentral is "bacterial SSU rRNA". It matches the Rfam family "Bacterial small subunit ribosomal RNA", at positions 8 to 691 of the family's 1533-position model. The record is from RNAcentral.